UACGAACUGUGCGAACGUUAUUCGGAAUCACUGGGCUUAAAGGGUGCGUAGGCGGUUAUCUAAGUCACGUGUGAAAUCUUCCGGCUCAACCGGAAAACUGCGCGUGAAACUAGAUGACUUGAGUGAGGUAGGGGUGUGUGGAACUUCCGGUGGAGCGGUGAAAUGUGUAGAGAUCGGAAGGAACGCCAGCAGCGAAAGCGGCACACUGGGCCUUUUCUGACGCUGAGGCACGAAAGCUAGGGGAGUGAACGGG
This 253-nucleotide ribosomal RNA is filed under the name uncultured bacterium. RNAcentral describes it as "partial 16S ribosomal RNA". It matches the Rfam family "Bacterial small subunit ribosomal RNA", at positions 524 to 776 of the family's 1533-position model. The record is from RNAcentral.